RNAcentral lists this ribosomal RNA (370 nucleotides) under uncultured bacterium. Its description in RNAcentral is "bacterial SSU rRNA". It matches the Rfam family "Bacterial small subunit ribosomal RNA", at positions 32 to 412 of the family's 1533-position model. The record is from RNAcentral.
AAUCAACGCUGGCGGCGCGCUUAACACAUGCAAGUCGCACGAGAAAGUGGAGCAAUCCAUGAGUAAAGUGGCGUACGGGUGAGUAACACGUGGAUCAUCUACCUCUUGGUGGGGAAUAACCUUGGGAAACCGGGGCUAAUACCGCAUAAGCCUGGAAAGGGAAAGCAGCAAUGCGCCGAGAGAGGAGUCCGCGGCCGAUUAGCUAGUUGGUAGGGUAAUGGCCUACCAAGGCAAUGAUCGGUAGCCGGCCUGAGAGGGCACACGGCCACACUGGCACUGAAACACGGGCCAGACUCCUACGGGAGGCAGCAGUGGGGAAUCUUGCACAAUGGGGGAAACCCUGAUGCAGCGACGCCGCGUGAGCGAUGAA